UUACGACUUGUGACGUCCAACGUGUCAUCAGAUCACAAUCAAACGGAAGAAGAACGGACUGGUUUUGUAGACUAAAGCAGACGCAAGCACGACGCUGUGGCAUCCAUGCAGUUUUUAUAUUGACACGUUAAGGAGUGAAAGGUGGAAUUCGGUCGCAACAAAUAGCUGAAAUACGAGCGUCCAGAAGUACAUUGAGUAAAACGUGUGAACAAGGGUCCAGUUUGCUGGGAGCAUGGUGACGAGGGGUGGCUCUAGAGAUGACACU
Long non-coding RNA from Acanthaster planci (crown-of-thorns starfish), 265 nucleotides. RefSeq lists it as uncharacterized. Lineage: Eukaryota; Metazoa; Echinodermata; Asteroidea; Valvatida; Acanthasteridae. The record is from RefSeq and is a predicted model, not a curated record.